RNAcentral lists this ribosomal RNA (485 nucleotides) under uncultured bacterium. RNAcentral describes it as "partial 16S ribosomal RNA". It matches the Rfam family "Bacterial small subunit ribosomal RNA", at positions 28 to 523 of the family's 1533-position model. The record is from RNAcentral.
GACGAACGCUGGCGGCGUGCUUAACACAUGCAAGUCGAACGGCGAAGGUGGAGCUUGCUCCGCCGGAUCAGUGGCGAACGGGUGAGUAACACGUGGGCAACCUGCCCCUCACUUCGGGAUAACUCCGGGAAACCGGGGCUAAUACCGGAUACGCACUCCUUGGGCAUCCUCGGAGGUGGAAAGUUUUUCGGUGAGGGAUGGGCCCGCGGCCUAUCAGCUUGUUGGUGAGGUAGUGGCUCACCAAGGCGACGACGGGUAGCCGGCCUGAGAGGGCGACCGGCCACACUGGGACUGAGACACGGCCCAGACUCCUACGGGAGGCAGCAGUGGGGAAUAUUGCGCAAUGGGCGAAAGCCUGACGCAGCAACGCCGCGUGCGGGAUGAAGGCCUUCGGGUUGUAAACCGCUUUCAGCAGGGAAGAAGCCGCAAGGUGACGGUACCUGCAGAAGAAGCACCGGCUAACUACGUGCCAGCAGCCGCAGUAA